UGCAUACUUCUCCAAAGUGAUAUAUGAAGACUCUUUUCUUUGCAUAAAAGCAUUAGGCAUAUAAAUGUAUAAAUAAAUUUUAUCAUGUACAGUACAAAAAUGGAACAUUCUGCAUGGACGUUAGGAAUACAGGCUAGUAUUUCAGCACAGACCUCCCUGCAUGAGUUCUCGCUGACACUUGCACUGUGCAGUGGGCACCGACUCCCUUCUACCAACACAGACGUGCCACCCCACCCCCUGCACCUACCACCGGCCGCCAGGGGCCCCUUUGUGCACCUUUGCUUUAUGAUUCCUCUAGGGGUGAUAUUGGUGGUGAUAACAGCUCCUAGCAUAAUGAAAGUUCCAUUUGACGUAUUGUCACACGUCUUUCCCGCCUCGCAUGGGUUGUCAUGUUUGAGUGAUGGCCCUGUUGAUUUCACCCUGCCUUUUACUGAAUCUGUAAAUUGUCGUGCAAUUGUGGUUAUAGUAGACUUGUAGCAAUAUUGCCUUUUCUAAACUGCUACACGUUUGUAAUCUUCAUUUUAAAAGUAUGUAUAAUUUUUAAAAAUAUGUAUUCUAUUCACGUGGUCUGCUUGUCAGUGAGACAGACUUUUGCUUACUGUAUUCCUUUAUAAUAAUGCUAGCCGCUUCCUUGAUUCCUUGGUAGUCUACUAUAUGCAGGAACUGUUGAGCAUCCGUGAAAGAAGGCUACCUCUCUGGGUUUCUAAGAAAUGCUGCCCUGGGUGGGGAUACAGUUUAGAGGCAGCCACAGCAGCUGUGGGGACCGAAGGGUAUAGGGGUAUCAGGUACUAGGAAAAUCCGGAGGGCUUACAGGAGUAGAGCCCAGAGAAUUUCUCUCCUGAACUCAAAUAAAAAAAAAAAAAAAGUAAACUAACAAAAAUAUCUAUUUGCCUUUGCAGUUUUAUAGACCCUGAUUGCCACCUUGGCAGUAAGAAGAGCAACCCUCAAAUAUGUUUCGACUUUAAAAUGUUGAAUUCCUUUCAGACAUGUGGCAUCUCAUUUAUUCUCCUUUUUUCUCAGUGUUUGUUAGAUUUUAGGCAGAAUGUCUGACAGAAUGUCCUAGAGCCAGAUUAUAAUUUAAUCUAAAACAGCUGAGGGAGGGACAGGAGGUAUGAGAACAGGGCUGCCACAGAACACGUCAAGAAUAUGGAGGGGAAGGGGUGCUUUGAAUUUGUGUGUUUUUUUGUUUUUUAAUGCAAAUAGCAUCUACGUGUAGAGCAUUGUGGAGAGUCGAGAUCAGGACAAAGUCCAGUGCCAGCAUGAGUUCCAGGUGGGAGUCAGGCAAGAGCGGAACAGUUAGGCCUAUCCAGGAUCACAGCAGCACUUUUAGCCAUGGCCACUGCCAGCUGGCCCUCCACCUGGAGGCCAGGCUCCCUGAGACUCGCUGGGUUCUUAGGUGGUCAGACGGGGCAGAGGUACGACCUGACCUCCAUUUCUUAUACUGAGACUGCUUUCAGGAAGGCCCACCAUGUGGCGUUCUGGGUGUCAUGGGUCCUUCUCAGUAAGCUUUCUGAUCUGGAGCCUCUCAGUGGAAUACUUAGUAGGCUCCGGGGGCCCGGCAGCUGUAAUGUUUGCAUCCUGAUGAGAACUAUUCCAGGCUGUCCUCAGCCUCUAAAUAAGCUGCUCUAGGGAGCCUUCCACUUUCUGAUGGGAAAUUAGAAGAGUAACUAAUGUUGAAAACAUGACAUGUACUCUGGGGUUCUGUUCUCCCUUCAGGUCUCCAGAACCAGAUACCUUUUACCAAAGUCAGAAAAGAGCUUUAUCGUAAGCCUUCACUGUCCUGGUGUGAGAACAGACUGCCAGGUUCAGCGUACCCAUUAACUGUGAAUGAAUCUGA
This 1837-nucleotide long non-coding RNA is filed under the name Lynx pardinus (Iberian lynx). The record is from RNAcentral. Lineage: Eukaryota; Metazoa; Chordata; Mammalia; Carnivora; Felidae.